This is an RNA transcript of Dreissena polymorpha, 1994 nucleotides long. It is a transcript of the gene named glutathione S-transferase kappa 1-like, with no coding region annotated. The transcript is spliced from 9 exons. Lineage: Eukaryota; Metazoa; Mollusca; Bivalvia; Myida; Dreissenidae. The record is from RefSeq and is a predicted model, not a curated record.
GGUGACGUCACUUGUAAGACCGGUGUGUACACAAUGCACCAUUUUUUAGAGUCCAAAAUGUCUGCCCCCAUGAAGAAAACUGUCGAGCUGUUUUAUGAUGUAGUUUCGCCAUAUACAUGGUUUGCAUUUGAGGUUUUGUGCAGGUAUCAGAAUAGAUGGAACAUGAAUUUACGACUGAAGCCUGUCUUUCUUGGGGGAAUCAUGAAAGGGAUAACACACGGCCGCCAAGUGCUAAUCGAAAACAGUACACAAGGAAAGAGCUGAAACUCCUUGCCAAAUAUUUCCAGGUGCCUCUUGUUUUGCCUACGAAUGCAUCAGAGAUGAUGUUUGUGAAGGGGACACUGAAGACACAGCGCUUCAUCACGGCUGUGGACAUGAUGGACUCUACGAAGACUGAGGAGCUCUCACGACAGAUGUGGCACCGCAACUGGAGUCGGGAUGAAGACAUUACGGAAGCGGCAAGUUUGAAGGAGGCUGGUAAGCAUGCAGGGCUGUCAGACACCCAGAUCUCUCAUGGUCUGGAGGACAUGCACAGCAGCAAGGUCAAGGACAGAUUGAAACAGUUCACAGAUGAGGCCUUGAAUCAUGGGGCGUUUGGCUCUCCGACUAUAAUAGCCCACACCACUGACGGUCCAGUCAUGCUCUUCGGGUCUGAUCGGUUUCCUAUUUUAGCCCAAGUUCUUGGUGAGAAAUGGGAAGGACCCAUUCCAGGAGAGCGUCAACUGUGAUAGCAGCUUUGUGUUUGUUUGGACCUGUUCAUGUGUUAUAUUAGGCGUUAUUAGCAUUUAUUUAUGUUUUUAAUUUAAUGGAAAACGUGAUUUGAUUUAGACAAUUAGGCAUUUUACAUGCUUGGACCAAUCUUGAGGAAUAUAGCAAGCUCAAAUUGAAACCUAGCCUGGGAUUGUAUUUUGGGCUAUUGGGUCAAUUUCACUGUUACUUUUGGGCUAAUAUGGUCAAUGUCACUGUUACUUUUGGGCUAAUAUGGUCAAUGUCACUGUUACUUUUGGGCUAAUAUGGUCAAUGUCACUGUUACUUUUGGGCUUAUAUGGUCAAUUUCACUGUUACUUUUGGGCUAAUAUGGUCAAUGUCACUGUUACUUUUGGGCUAAUAUGGUCAAUGUGACUGUUACUUUUGGGCUAAUAUGGUCAAUUUCACUGUUACUUUUGGGCUAAUAUGGUCAUUGUCACUGUUACUUUUGGGCUAAUAUGGUCAAUUUCACUGUUACUUUUGGGCUAAUAUGGUCACUGUUACGUUUGGGCUAAUAUGGUUAAUUUCACUGUUACUUUUGGGCUAAUAUGGUCAAUGUCACUGUUACUUUUGGGCUAAUAUGGUCAAUUUCACUGUUACUUUUGGGCUAAUAUGGUCAUUGUCACUGUUACUUUUGGGCUAAUAUGGUCAAUUUCACUGUUAAUUUUGGGCUAAUAUGGUCACUGUUACUUUUGGGCUAAUAUGGUCAAUUUCACUGUUACUUUUGGGCUAAUAUGGUCAAUGUCACUGGUACUUUUGGGCUAAUAUGGUCAAGGUCACUGUUACUUUUGGGCUAAUAUGGUCAAUGUCACUGUUACUUUUGGGCUAAUAUGGUCAAGGUCACUGUUACUUUUGGGCUAAUAUGGUCACUGUUACUUUUGGGCUAAUAUGGUCAAUUUCACUGUUACUUUUGGGCUAAUAUGGUCAAUGUGACUGUUACUUUUUGGCUAAUAUGGUCAUUGUCACUGUUACUUUUGGGCUAAUAUGGUCAAUUUCACUUUUACUUUUGGGCUAAUAUGGUCAUUGUCACUGUUACUUUUGGGCUAAUAUGGUCAAUUUUACUGUUACUUUUGGGCUAAUAUGGUCACUGUUACUUUUGGGCUAAUAUGGUCAAUUUCACUGUUACUUUUGGGCUAAUAUGGUCAUUGCCACUGUUACUUAUGGGCUUGUUUGGUCAAGAUCACUGUUACUUAUGGGCUUGUUUGGUCAAGAUCACUGUUACUUUUGGGCUAGUUUGGUGAAGAUCA